CGCGUAGGUGGUUUGAUAAGGGUGUGGUGAAAGUCCGGGGCUCAACCCCGGAUCUGCCGUGCCGACUGUCAAACUCGAGGACUGUAGAGGCAGGCGGAAUUCCGGGUGUAGCGGUGGAAUGCGUAGAGAUCCGGAGGAAGACCGGUGGCGAAGGCGGCCUGCUGGGCAGUUUCUGACACUGAUGCGCGACAGCGUGGGGAGCAAACA
Molecule: ribosomal RNA, 207 nt
Filed under: uncultured bacterium
Lineage: Bacteria
Description: partial 16S ribosomal RNA
Rfam family: Bacterial small subunit ribosomal RNA
Source: RNAcentral